GCGGCAACCCCCGUGGACGCUGGCUCGCUUGGUUGGAGGAGUUUGAAAAUCGAGGGCUGAGGGAAAAGUUGGCUUCAGGUUACUUCAUAAGAUGUUCCUACAGAUCACAAAACAUGCCGACAAGAA
Molecule: long non-coding RNA, 126 nt
Organism: Ochotona curzoniae (black-lipped pika)
Lineage: Eukaryota; Metazoa; Chordata; Mammalia; Lagomorpha; Ochotonidae
Exons: 2
Source: RefSeq, a predicted model, not a curated record